AACAUUACUUGGGUGAUACUAAAGAUGAAUACUUCUCCAGCAUUAGUGACUGUGAUGCUGCUGUUCAUACUUGGAAAAACUAAUGGAGACUCAGUGACCCAGAAACAAGGUCAAGUGACUCUCUCAGAAGACGACUUCCUAUUUAUAAACUGCACUUAUUCAACUACACAGUACCCAUAUCUGUUCUGGUAUGUCCAAUAUCCUGGAGAAGGUCCAGAGCUGCUUUUGAAAGUCACAACAGCCAACAACAAGGGAAGCAACAGAGGUUUUGAAGCUACAUACAAUAAAGAAUCCACUUCCUUCCACUUACAGAAAGCCACUGUCAAAGUUUCAGACUCGGCUGUGUACUACUGUGCUCUGAGUGACACAGUGUCACAAACUACAGGGGGAGCUGAGCACAAACUCAGGGGAGCAAAAGAAAGUCUGAGGACAAAACUGGGGACAUUGCAGUGUAGAACAGGAAAGGUACUGAAGAUAGACUACCUGCUUCCCAGGAAUGUGUGGCCACCACAUUCCCACAAGGAGUGUUUCUACUGGCUUUUGACACCAAGCAAUGGCAGUGAUGGAGGAAAGGAAAUGCAGCCAGGUUCUGCUGAGUCCUCAGUGAAUGGAGCAAGGAUAUCUAUGGUGCAGUUUGAAGGGAAAUCAGCAGAGGGCACUGCCUCUGCAGAUGUGGUUAAGGUUUGCAUCCAGUUGGUGGCUUCACUUGACACAAUGUAA
Arvicola amphibius (Eurasian water vole) is the source of this 720-nucleotide non-coding RNA. Lineage: Eukaryota; Metazoa; Chordata; Mammalia; Rodentia; Cricetidae. The record is from the annotation of a RefSeq genome assembly.